CCUACGGGGGGCUGCAGUGAGGAAUAUUGGUCAAUGGACGAGAGUCUGAACCAGCCAAGUAGCGUGAAGGAUGACUGCCCUAUGGGUUGUAAACUUCUUUUAUAAAGGAAUAAAACGAGGCACGUGUGCCUUUUUGCAUGUACUUUAUGAAUAAGGAUCGGCUAACUCCGUGCCAGCAGCCGCGGUAAUACGGAGGAUCCGAGCGUUAUCCGGAUUUAUUGGGUUUAAAGGGAGCGUAGAUGGGUUGUUAAGUCAGUUGUGAAAGUUUGCGGCUCAACCGUAAAAUUGCAAUUGAUACUGGCAGUCUUGAGUACAGUUGAGGUAGGCGGAAUUCGUGGUGUAGCGGUGAAAUGCUUAGAUAUCACGAAGAACCCCGAUUGCGAAGGCAGCUUACCAAACUGUGACUGACAUUGAUGCUCGAAAGUGUGGGUAUCAAACAGGAUUAGAUACCCCGGUAGUC
RNAcentral lists this ribosomal RNA (460 nucleotides) under uncultured bacterium. RNAcentral describes it as "partial 16S ribosomal RNA". It matches the Rfam family "Bacterial small subunit ribosomal RNA", at positions 338 to 795 of the family's 1533-position model. The record is from RNAcentral.